AUUGAACGCUGGCGGAAUGCUUUACGCAUGCAAGUCGAACGGCAGCACGGACUUCGGUCUGGUGGCGAGUGGCGAACGGGUGAGUAAUGUAUCGGAACGUGCCCAGUCGUGGGGGAUAACGUAGUGAAAAUUACGCUAAUACCGCAUACGAUCUAUGGAUGAAAGCGGGGGAUCGCAAGACCUCGCGCGAUUGGAGCGGCCGAUAUCAGAUUAGGUAGUUGGUGGGGUAAAGGCCCACAAAGCCAACGAUCUGUAGCUGGUCUGAGAGGACGACCAGCCACACUGGAACUGAGACACGGUCCAGACUCCUACGGGAGGCAGCAGUGGGGAAUUUUGGACAAUGGGCGAAAGCCUGAUCCAGCCAUUCCGCGUGCAGGAUGAAGGCCCUCGGGUUGUAAACUGCUUUUGUACAGAACGAAAAGGUUUCUACUAAUACUAGGAGCUCAUGACGGUACUGUAAGAAUAAGCACCGGCUAACUACGUGCCAGCAGCAGCCGCCG
RNAcentral lists this ribosomal RNA (500 nucleotides) under uncultured bacterium. RNAcentral describes it as "partial 16S ribosomal RNA". It matches the Rfam family "Bacterial small subunit ribosomal RNA", at positions 30 to 523 of the family's 1533-position model. The record is from RNAcentral.